Molecule: unclassified non-coding RNA, 196 nt
Filed under: plant metagenome
Description: partial contains small subunit ribosomal RNA, internal transcribed spacer 1, and 5.8S ribosomal RNA
Source: RNAcentral
UCUCCGUUGGUGAACCAGCGGAGGGAUCAUUACCGAGUUUACAACUCCCAAACCCCUGUGAACAUACCAUUUGUUGCCUCGGCGGUGCCUGCUUCGGCAGCCCGCCAGAGUACCCAAACCCUUGAUUUUAUACAGUAUCCUCUGAGUAAACUUAAUUAAUAAAUUAAAACUUUUAACAACGGAUCUCUUGGUUCUG